RNAcentral lists this ribosomal RNA (221 nucleotides) under uncultured bacterium. RNAcentral describes it as "partial 16S ribosomal RNA". It matches the Rfam family "Bacterial small subunit ribosomal RNA", at positions 57 to 305 of the family's 1533-position model. The record is from RNAcentral.
GCAAGUCGAGCGCUUUCCUUCGGGUGGAGCGGCGGACGGGUUAGUAACGCGUGGGAACAUACCCUUCUCUAAGGAAUAGCCACUGGAAACGGUGAGUAAUACCUUAUACGCCCUUCGGGGGAAAGAUUUAUCGGAGAAGGAUUGGCCCGCGUUAGAUUAGAUAGUUGGUGGGGUAACGGCCUACCAAGUCACCGAUCUAUAGCUGGUUUGAGAGGAUGAUC